Molecule: ribosomal RNA, 1153 nt
Filed under: uncultured fungus
Lineage: Eukaryota; Fungi
Description: eukaryotic LSU rRNA
Rfam family: Eukaryotic large subunit ribosomal RNA (bases 531-1153)
Source: RNAcentral
AAGUCGUAACAAGGUCUCCGUUGGUGAACCAGCGGAGGGAUCAUUACCGAGUUUUCAACUCCCAAACCCCUGUGAACUUUACCAGUCGUUGCUUCGGCGGUCACGCCCCGGCGCCCUCGUGCCCGGAUCAGUGCGCCCGCCGGAGGCCAAAAACCAUUGUGUAUUAUAUGUAUUAUCUGAGUGGCACAAGCAAAUAAAUCAAAACUUUCAACAACGGAUCUCUUGGUUCUGGCAUCGAUGAAGAACGCAGCGAAAUGCGAUAAGUAAUGUGAAUUGCAGAAUUCAGUGAAUCAUCGAAUCUUUGAACGCACAUUGCGCCCGCCAGUAUUCUGGCGGGCAUGCCUGUCCGAGCGUCAUUUCAACCCUCGCGCCCAUCUGGGCUGCGGUGUUGGGGACCGGCCUGCCCCUCCGGGGGCGCGCCGCCCCCCAAAAUCAGUGGCGGUCUCGCUGCAGCCUCCCUUGCGUAGUAGCACACCUCGCACCGGAGCGCAGCGCGGCCACGCCGUAAAACCCCCCGACCCCCAUGAGUUUGACCUCGGAUCAGGUAGGAAUACCCGCUGAACUUAAGCAUAUCAAUAAGCGGAGGAAAAGAAACCAACAGGGAUUGCCCCAGUAACGGCGAGUGAAGCGGCAACAGCUCAAAUUUGAAAUCUGGCCCCUAGGGUCCGAGUUGUAAUUUGUAGAGGAUACUUUUGGCGCGGCGCCUUCCGAGUUCCCUGGAACGGGACGCCAUAGAGGGUGAGAGCCCCGUCUGGUUGGAUGCUUAGCCUCUGUAAAGUUCCUUCGACGAGUCGAGUAGUUUGGGAAUGCUGCUCUAAAUGGGAGGUAUAUGUCUUCUAAAGCUAAAUACCGGCCAGAGACCGAUAGCGCACAAGUAGAGUGAUCGAAAGAUGAAAAGCACUUUGAAAAGAGGGUUAAAUAGUACGUGAAAUUGUUGAAAGGGAAGCAUUUGUGACCAGACUUGGGCCCGGUUAAUCAUCCAGUGUUCUCACUGGUGCACUUUGCCGGCCCAGGCCAGCAUCAGUUCGCCUCGGGGGAUAAAGGUUUCGGGAAUGUGGCUCCCUCGGGAGUGUUAUAGCCCGUUGCGUAAUACCCUGUGGCGGACUGAGGUUCGCGCUCCGCAAGGAUGCUGGCGUAAUGGUCAUCAGUGACC